UUUUUUGCUGUUUCCAUGGUAACGGCGGCCAUUUUGAAAAUUCCUAAAUUAUAUUUCAACUCUGCACAUGCCAGUGAACAUUUCUGUAAAGUUUCAUAAAGUUUGGUGCAUUUUCAUUUUUUUGUAGUUUCCAUGGUAACGGUAGCCAUUUUGAAAAUUCCAAAGACAGAUUCCACUUUGACUCAUUACAUGUUACCUCCCCAUAAAGUUUCGAUAGGUUUAAUAUCAUAUUCUUUAAGAAAAAGCAGGUUUAAUGUUUUUCCCAUAGGGCCAAUGUUAAACUUUCGCCCUGUUUCCAUGACAAUGAUGGCCAUUUUGGAAUUUCCAAAUAUAGUCGGUAUAUCAGGGCAUACCAUGGAACAUUUCCAUAAAGUUUCAUCCAGUUGGGUCUUACAAUGAAAGAUUUGGAAUUUUGAUUUUUUUUUACAUUUUUUUAGUUUCCAUGGUAACGGUAGCCAUCAUGCACAUGCCAAUGUCCACUGCACAACUUAUCAUGGUGGUCCUUAUUAUAGUAGAGUUUAACCAACAUUGGUCCAUUGGAUUCCGAGAAAUAAGCUGGACAAAAUCGGUGGAAGAAAAAUAAUAAGAAAAAAAAGAAACGUAGAAUAACAAUACGUCACCCCAACUUCGUUGAGGGUGCCAUAAAAAGAAACGUAGAAUAACAAUACGUCACCCCAACUCCGUUGAGGGUGCCAUAAUAAUAAAAAUAAUAAGAACUGAGCAAAAACAAUAAGUC
Molecule: long non-coding RNA, 736 nt
Filed under: Mytilus galloprovincialis (Mediterranean mussel)
Lineage: Eukaryota; Metazoa; Mollusca; Bivalvia; Mytilida; Mytilidae
Source: RNAcentral